AGAGUUUGAUCCUGGCUCAGAACGAACGCUGGCGGCAGGCUUAACACAUGCAAGUCGAGCGCCCCGCAAGGGGAGCGGCAGACGGGUGAGUAACGCGUGGGAAUCUACCCAUCUCUACGGAACAACUCCGGGAAACUGGAGCUAAUACCGUAUACGUCCUUUUGGAGAAAGAUCUAUCGGAGAUGGAUGAGCCCGCGUUGGAUUAGCUAGUUGGUGGGGUAAAGGCCUACCAAGGCGACGAUCCAUAGCUGGUCUGAGAGGAUGAUCAGCCACACUGGGACUGAGACACGGCCCAGACUCCUACGGGAGGCAGCAGUGGGGAAUAUUGGACAAUGGGCGCAAGCCUGAUCCAGCCAUGCCGCGUGAGUGAUGAAGGCCCUAGGGUUGUAAAGCUCUUUCACCGGUGAAGAUAAUGACGGUAACCGGAGAAGAAGCCCCGGCUAACUUCGUGCCAGCAGCCGCGGUAAA
This 468-nucleotide ribosomal RNA is filed under the name uncultured Aminobacter sp. Its description in RNAcentral is "bacterial SSU rRNA". It matches the Rfam family "Bacterial small subunit ribosomal RNA", at positions 8 to 524 of the family's 1533-position model. Lineage: Bacteria; Pseudomonadati; Pseudomonadota; Alphaproteobacteria; Hyphomicrobiales; Phyllobacteriaceae. The record is from RNAcentral.